UACCAAAUAAGGAAAGAUUCUCAUCACCUAAGUUUCAGUUGGAUAGAAACUUGGAAUCAUGCAAGUUGUAUAGCAUGAUGAAUGAGAACUUUCAAGUAUUGGAAAAUUAAGACUAAUUACUUGUUCACAUGGAUGUGUGAGUCAAGUGAAGGACUAAGGGAUCGAGUACACAUUCUUGUGCACUGGUCAAGUCCACCACAAAAGAUCGAUAAGACUAUUCGUCAUAGUUUACUAAAGCUCAGUAAAUAUGAUUAUACUUACAAGCUUAAGUGUAACUCUGAGACAUUGGAAAAGGUUCCAAUGUAUGGCAAAGCGAAUAAGAAGAAUCAAAUUAGGCAGAAGGAUAAAAGUUUCUCAAAUCUGAAAAGAUGGGAGAGUACUUUAGUAUCAGUUUUGUGAUCAUCUUAAUGAUUAAGAAACCAUAGCACAAUUAGUUCUCUAAGGAAAUCUUAGUGCAUUCUUAUGACUAAGAAGAGGAAUCUUGAAUUGUUGAAAUGGUUAAAUCAAGAAGAUGAGUCAUACUUCGUUCCAAUACAAGUCUUAGAGUCAUACUCCAAGAUUGUAACUUGAGUGACAUGUCUUA
Molecule: long non-coding RNA, 583 nt
Filed under: Lactuca sativa (garden lettuce)
Lineage: Eukaryota; Viridiplantae; Streptophyta; Magnoliopsida; Asterales; Asteraceae
Description: long non-coding RNA (LSAT_LNC005375)
Source: RNAcentral